RNAcentral lists this ribosomal RNA (469 nucleotides) under uncultured bacterium. Its description in RNAcentral is "partial 16S ribosomal RNA". It matches the Rfam family "Bacterial small subunit ribosomal RNA", at positions 28 to 507 of the family's 1533-position model. The record is from RNAcentral.
GACGAACGCUGGCGGCGUGCUUAACACAUGCAAGUCGAACGGAAAGGCCCUGCUUGCAGGGUGCUCGAGUGGCGAACGGGUGAGUAACACGUGGGUGAUCUGCCCCUUACUUUGGGAUAAGCCUGGGAAACUGGGUCUAAUACUGGAUAGGACCAUGCUGUAGGUGGUGUGGUGGAAAGAUUAGUUUCGGUAAGGGAUGAGCUCGCGGCCUAUCAGCUUGUUGGUGGGGUAAUGGCCUACCAAGGCGUCGACGGGUAGCCGGCCUGAGAGGGUGGACGGCGGCAUUGGGGCUGAGAUACGGCGCAGACUCCUACGGGAGGCAGCAGUGGGGAAUAUUGCACAAUGGGCGCAAGCCUGAUGCAGCGACGCCGCGUGGGGGAUGACGGCCUUCGGGUUGUAAACUCCUUUCAGCCAUGACGAAGCCCUUGUGGUGACGGUAGUGGUAGAAGAAGCACCGGCUAACUACGUG